CGGGUGAGUAACGCGUGAGCAAUCCGCCCAUAUCAGGGGAAUAACAGUUAGAAAUGACUGCUAAUACCGCAUAGGACCACGGGGAGGCAUCUCUCUGAGGUGAAAGAUUUAUCGGAUAUGGAUGAGCUCGCGUCCCAUUAGGUAGUUGGUGAGGUAACGGCCCACCAAGCCGACGAUGGGUAGCCGGCCUUAGAGGGUGAUCGGCCACAUUGGAACUGAGACACGGUCCAAACUCCUACGGGAGGCAGCAG
RNAcentral lists this ribosomal RNA (251 nucleotides) under uncultured bacterium. RNAcentral describes it as "partial 16S ribosomal RNA". It matches the Rfam family "Bacterial small subunit ribosomal RNA", at positions 103 to 354 of the family's 1533-position model. The record is from RNAcentral.